Scophthalmus maximus (turbot) is the source of this 7769-nucleotide RNA transcript. It is a transcript of the gene named epidermal growth factor receptor pathway substrate 15-like 1a, with no coding region annotated. The transcript is spliced from 25 exons. Lineage: Eukaryota; Metazoa; Chordata; Actinopteri; Pleuronectiformes; Scophthalmidae. The record is from RefSeq and is a predicted model, not a curated record.
AUCAUCAGCUGAUCAGAUCAUCUGAUCAUCAGAACAUAAGAUCAUCAGAUCAUCAGAACAUCUGAUCAUCAGAACACCAGAUCAUCAGAACAUAAGAUCAUCAGAACAUCUGAUCGUCGGAACACCAGAACGUCAGAACGGUGUCGGGCGGAAUGCGAGUCCUCACUGUGUCCGCGAGGGGGCGCGUCUCUGGGGAGCGGGAGGGAGCGUUCCCGCAGCAACAGGGAAGAUGGCAGCUCUCACAUCUCUCACUCAGUUGUCCAGUGGGAACGCCGUAUAUGAGAACUUCUACAGACAGGUGGAUCCUGGCAACACAGGGAGAGUGGGACCAACAGAAGCCGCCCUGUUCCUGAAGAAGUCCGGACUCGCUGACAUAACACUGGGAAAGAUUUGGGAUUUAGCUGAUCCUGAUGGAAAAGGCUAUUUGGACAAACAGGGGUUUUACGUGGCUCUGCGCCUGGUGGCCUGUGCUCAGAGUGGACAGGAAGUCUGUCUGUCCAGCCUCAACCUCAAAGUCCCGCCCCCAAAAUUUAAGGACACCAGUAGUCCGUCUCUGAGCAGCACCGCUCCUGCCUCCUCCGAAUCGCACUGGGCUGUCAGGCCGGAGGAAAAGGGUAAAUUUGAUGGGAUCUUUGAGAGUCUGGCUCCAGUCAACGGCCUGCUGUCGGGAGACAAGGUCAAACCAGUCCUCAUCAACUCCAAGCUGCCUCUGGACGUCCUGGGGAAGGUGUGGGACCUGAGUGACAUAGAUAAAGAUGGCCACCUGGACAAAGAUGAGUUUGCUGUGGCCAUGCACCUGGUCUACCGGGCCCUGGAGAAAGAGCCUGUUCCCGCUCUCCUCCCCUCAUCCCUCAUCCCUCCGUCCAAGAGGAAAAAGAGUCUGGGCUCGGUGGUCACUUCUGUGCCUGGACUGCCUGCCAGCCCUCCACCUCCGAAGGACUCCCUGCGCUCCACACCGUCCCACGGAAGCAUGAACUCACUCAACAGUACCGGCAGCCUGUCGCCCAAACACACACUCAAGUCCGGACAGCAUUCAUUGAACUGGGUGGUGCCAGUGUCAGACCGUGGUCGCUAUGACGACAUCUUCCUGAAGACGGAUGCGGACCUGGAUGGUUUUGUCAGCGGACUGGAAGUAAAAGAAAUAUUCAUGCAGUCUGGACUAUCUCAGAAUGUCCUCGCCCAUAUAUGGGCUCUGGCGGACACGAGGCAGAUAGGAAAACUGACCCGGGAGCAGUUUGCCCUCGCGAUGCAUCUCAUCCAACAGAAGGUCAGCAAGGGCAUCGACCCUCCACAGGCCCUGACUGCUGACAUGAUGCCUCCUUCUGAAAGAGGCACUCCUGUACCAAGUAUGUCAGGAUACAUGACCCCAGUGGGAUCAGAGAUGGCUGCUCUGUCUGAUAUGAGAAGGGACAGCUCCAGUUCAGUGGGUUCAGGGGAGUUCACCGGCAUCAAGGAGUUGGAUGACAUCAGCCAGGAGAUAACCCAGUUGCAGAGGGAGAAGUACACUCUGGAGCAAGACAUCAGGGAGACGGAGGAGGCCAUCCGAUACAAGAGUGCAGAGGUGCAGGAGAUGCAGAAUGACCUGGACAGAGAGACAGCCAGCCUGCAAGAGCUGGAGGCUCAGAAACAAGACGCCCAAGAACGCCUGGAAGAGAUGGACCAGCAGAAACACAAACUAGAAGACAUGCUGAACGAAGUCCGGAUCAAGUGCCAGGAGGAGUCUCAGAUGAUCUCAACGCUUCAGAGUCAGAUCCAUUCCCAGGAGUCCGACCUGCAGAGCCAGGAGGAAGAACUGAGCCGGGCAAAGGCCGACCUAGGCCGACUGCAGCAGGAGGAGAACCAGCUGGAGCAGAGCUUAGCUGCCGGGAAGAUCCAGCUGGAGACCAUCAUCAAGUCCCUGAAGGCCACGCAGGACGAGAUCAACCAGGCUCGCAGUAAAUUGUCCCAGAUUCAGGACAGCCAACAUGAAGUGUCGAAAAACAUCGAGCGGUAUAACAGCACCUUAAAUGGAACCCACGGAGGCAGCAUGACCAACCUGGCUGACAUGAGCGAGGGCUUCAGUGAGAAGGAGAAUGGAGGAUUCCCAGCCAUGGUGAGAGCAGCACAGGAGGAUCCGUUCAAAGUGAAGCCAUCAGUGUUCACCAGCCAGCCUCAGGAGCUUCCCACAGACCCCUUCCACUCUGAAGACCCCUUCAUCACAGACCCAUUCAAAGGUGACCCUUUCCAACACGACCCUUUUGCAAAGCAGCCACCAACGUCCACAGAUCCUUUUGGAGGAGACCCGUUCAAAGAGACAGACCCAUUCAAAGCUUCGUCAGAAGAUUUCUUCAAGAAGACCACAAAGAUGGACCCCUUCUCCACACCAGACCCCUUCAAUAAGAGUGCCACAUUACCUUCCAAGCAGCAAGCCAGUCACUUCACAAGCAAUGACCCAUUCUCUUCAAGUAACCCCAAACCCAGAGGAGCAGACUUGUUUGGCACGUUGGACCCGUUUGGCAGCAGUUCGUUCUGCAGCAGCAGCAGUAACAGCUCCGCUGGAUUUGCAGACUUCAGCCAUAUGUCAAAGCCCAGAGACCCUUUUGAAGGCAGGGCCAGCUGGCUGCCAGACUACCAGAAGUCAGUGUUUGUGGAAGACCCAUUCAGCAGGAAGAAUGACACGCCAGCUCUGCCACCGAAGAAAAGUGUUCCCCCAAGACCCAAACCACCCAGUGGUAAGAGCACACCAGUGAGCAUGUCUGGCACCGCUGACCCUUCUAAACCAUGUGACCCCUUCCAGCCAUUUGGCAGCGACCCCGUCGAUCCGUUUCAGAGUAAAAAAGGCCUGGGAGACCCGUUCAGCGGCAAAGACCCCUUUGCCCCGACCGCAACAAGUAAAGCCCCUAAACACUCUACCUCUGGUUGUGCAGACUUCAUUGCUGUAAGUUGAGAUGGGUGAUACUGUUUGACUUCCACAGCUCCGCACAGACACCAGCACAGUCACUAGAUCUGAGUCAUAAUGAUUGACUACCUCAGACUGAUGGGUGCUGACGAGGCAGAGCUCAAGUGUCACCAACAUGAAUGUAUCUUAGUCUAAAGACAAGGUAUUGCACCAACAUGUUUUUGGGUUGUAAUCUUGAAAUACCAAAAUUAAAGGAUCUAUUUAUUAUAAUUUGUUCCUGGUUGACAAAUACAACAUUUAGGCCCAUAACUCGCUAGUUUGUGCAUUGAAAUCCAGCGACAGUGUGGCCAGAGUGCUCAUUAAUUCCAUGUUGAAUGUAAAGGCCAGUUAUUAAAAUAUCAUAUUCAGAUUACAGCUGCAACUCACUGGGAUAUUAAUUUUUUAUUAAACUUGAGAAUAUUUUCUAGAUUAAUAAUGUAGUCUAUAAAUGUCCAUCAGGCUGUCCCAGAGCUCAUGGUGACAUAUUUAUGUUUGAACCAAAGCUCUUUGUCGCCACAAUUGAUUUCCAUCAGUUAGAUUCCAGGAGGUCGUAUAUGAGAUCAGUUUAAAUAAAAAUAUGAAUUUAACUACAGAAACUGUCUUCAGGGCAUGUAAUCCCUCUCUUAGUCCUGAUCUGUUGCUCAGGCUGUUAGUCUCAUGGCGUGUCGUGCUGUCUCCAGGUCAGUACCAAUAAAAAAACUACACCAAACUCACAUCGACAUUUUUACAACCGUGUCAUUGAUUUGAUGGCUAUGGUUUGUUAAAUAAUGUUUAUAAUGUCAUAAGUAUUAAAUCAGUUCUUUAAUGAGCGUUGUUUAGUUUGCCGCUGACACUAUUGUGAACGUGUUCAGUGUUUUUGUAUGUACUGUAAAUGGAGUCAUGUUGUUUAAUCUCAUUUUUAUAGCAUCCAAUAAUAACAAAUUACAAAAUCCAAACUAAUGAGAAAAAUUUCUUCAAUGAACAUCAGUAUGAUAAGUUGUGCCUAAAUGACAGAAGCCAAAAUGUAUUUGGCGUGUUGUCUGACCUUAAACAUUUGGUCCAUGUCCCAUCUGGUGAACAUGUGUGAUGAUGAUUUCAGCUUGACUUUUUUAGAGCUGUCAGGUCAUCCAUCUUUAUUCACCGUCUCUGGUUAAGACCGGUUGGAAAUGGGCUCAUUGUGAUUGGCUGAUGAUUAAAGCGGUGCACUAACAGCAGCACCUUUUGUCCUUAAUGUCAAGUCAUUUGAUGACAUUAUGAUUUUACUAUACAUUUACAGAAUUCUCUUGUUCAAAUUUAUGAUUUCAAAUUGUGAUAAGAGUGCAAGACAGUAUUAUUUUGAAUACUUCACCACAUUUAUCCAUAUCAGAAAAAACAUUAUUUUAAUACAAUAUGCGCGGUUAUAUUGACUUUAACAUCAUCACCCAGUGCAGUAAGCUGUAUCUUACUUACACAACACCAGAAGUCAAUAAGUGGCCUGUCUGUGUACAGUUGGAAAUAGAACAGAAUACAGGGAACUCAAAAUAACAAUCUAAAUAGUUCACUAGGCAAGACAGCACAACACUAAGGCAGCCUGUUCACCCUCUUCAGCUUCUUUAUGCUUUUCUCCAUGACAAUACAUUUCUCUGUCUGUUGAUAGAGAAAUGUAUUAAAUCAAUUGCUCAACAGUUUAGAAAGAUGGCAUAGAUUUGGGGUUGGAGGGAUGGGGGGGUUUCUUCAACCACUCACACUAAACACUUGACAACACACUCCUGUGUGAAGUGUGAAGUCGAUUGGUUGUCGACUAAAUGGAAGGACAGACAGACGUAGGCUGUCAGAAGCAGAAGAGCUUAGCUUUCAUUUGUGUUGCAGCAGAAAUGGGUUGGAGGUUUGAGGGGAGUCAUGUGAGUGACUCACUGUGCUCACUGAUGGAGUCAGAGGGCCCAUAGCCAGGAACGCUUCACAGGGGUCCAGCUGGAUCCAUAAAUCAGCAAAUAGUCCCAGCAAUUUAAAGCACAAAUUGUCACUAUAAUUUAGUUUUGUCUCCAGAUGAAACAAUUGAGAUACAAUGUGUCCAUCGCUGUUGGUGCUGUAGGUCUGUGUUGGUACUUUGAAAAGAGCCUUUAUGCAAAGCUAAGCUAUCCAUGUCCUGCAGGAUUAACAAUGACAGAUACUAUCUGAAGAGCAGCCUAAAGGAGCAAACAGAGGUGGACUGGACCUCGAUGCAACAUUUCAGAAACUGCAGUUAGGUGUUGUAGCUGUAUUCAGGCUGCAGGGCUGCAUUCAUUUCUCGUGCAGGAAAGGGUGUCAGCCCUCUUUGUGGUUGCUGUGCUUGUUUUCACAGGAAGAAUAUCGUUAGUUUGUCUGAGUUUCUGUGGACUCUGACUGAGGCUCAGGGCUAAUGUGAAUUGUCACUUGUCACUUUACAUUAGUCCGGCAGAUAAUAACUUUAUAGGUCAAUAAUCUGAUUGACAGUCCGAUCUAACGCAGGACACAAGAGUAUCACAUCUCAACUCGCAGCUCUUAAGUCUGUCGCCCACGUCUGUGUGUGUGUGUGUGUGUGUGUGUGUGUGUGUGUGUGUGUGUGUGUGUGUGUGUGUGUGUGUGUGUGUGUGUGUGUGUGUGUGUGUGUGUGUGUGUGUGUGUGUGUGUGUGUGUGUGUGUGUGUGUGUGUGUGUGUGUGUUUGUGUGUGUGUGUGUUCUAUCAUGUGACUGUACAGCAGUACCACUCUGACACUUGUUCACCACAUGCUCUCAUGGGAGUUCCGAUACUAACUGACUGCUUUACUGGGUAGAAACAAAAUCAAUAUUCCUGAAAAUUCAUUGACUUCGUCAGAACAUAUGUAAUAAUCCCUUUCAUUCAAUUCAUGUAGAAUCUCUUCAGGGUAGAGUAUUAUUGGCUGGAACAACAGGGCCUGUUAAACAUUUAUUGUAAGCAGGAAGACUGGUUCUUGCACAUUUACUAUUUUUAUUAUAGGAUACAUUUCAUAAAUCAUACUCUUAUUCGUUCUCCCAAAAAAGUAAAGGAGCUUUCAGACAGUAAGUGGUUGUUAAGUAAAGUACAGAGGUUGAGGUUGUGGCAGCAGCAGAGCGAGAGCGUCUGCUGAUGGUUAAACUUCUUCAUCUUGGCACGUUGCUACGUGACGUUGACAACCACAGGGAGUACAGCAAGUUAAAUGAUUUCCCUGGUCCCCAUGUUAACACAGCUCCUCGCCACUAGAGAAGCGACAGGUCAGGGAAGAGGAACAGAACUAAAACAACAUGGUCUUCAGUCGGAGGCAUUAAUCUCAUUUCUGAUACUAGUAAGCAAAACUUGCUGCAUUAGUUGAUGUUAACUAACCACUCCCUUGUGUGAAGGCUGGUGGACAGCAGCACUAUGUGUUGUUAACUGGGAGCCAUGGCUGCUGUCACUGAUUCAGAUAGAAUGCUGAUGUUGCUGCGGUAACCACUCGUUGUCUGCAAGCACGAAACCUCUCAUCCAAAACAGACUUAUCCUAUAAAAUGCUUUAAUUCAACCAAAUUAUAAGAAAUUUGUCAGAAUAAUAAUGCAUACGAUUCCUAAUAUUGAGUUUUGAUAGUUCCAUACAUCCAAUUCACUACUCCAUCAGCACCACUUAACAGUCAAUUACAAUCCCAAUGUAUGUUCCAUAUCUUUACAUAUCUAACUCGCAGUCAUGUUGUAAGUCCUUACACAUACAGCAGCUAAAGACAGUGAAAUUCUGCAGGAAUCCCUUGUUUGUGUGUGUGUGUGUGUUUGCGCUGUGUUGUGUGUGUGUGUGUGUGUGUGUGUGUGCGUGUGCGUGCUGUGCGUGUGUGUCUGUGUGAGUGUGUGCUGUGCUGUGCUGUGCUGUGCUGUGAUUUCUAUAACACUGAGUUCCUAACGUCUCUGUUCUGUAACCCACCUCUGACAGGACCUGACAAAGUGAAGGUAAGAGAUUUAAAUACACAAUGAAAUUCACAUUCAGACUUGGCAACAUUGUCUCCACAUGACUUAAUUUCAGAUGUACAAUAUGUUUAAACAUGUUUUCGUUGAUCUUACAUCACGUGUUGCUGAAAAAGCAAAUCGGUCACAUUGAGGAGCAAAAUUAUGAGUAACUGAAUUUUUACAUCAAUAGAAGGAAACAUGUUGCCUUGUGUUUGAGGAAUGUUUCUCUCUUUUGUUAGAAAGCACUUUAAUGUCACUACUAUUAAUUAGAGCAAUGGUACUUUAUCGGAUGUGUUUAUAUAUUAAUAUAAAUAUUAAGGCAUAUACCAAUAUGUCUGAAAGGCUCAUAUCAGCCGAUAAAUCGUACAAGCUCUAUAUUUUAUGUCAAAAUAUAUUAUGAAUACAUUUAUUUAUGUUUUAAUAUUGUGUCCUGAGUGCUACAUUUACAGGGGUUCUGUUGUUCAAACUGUUAAAUGGUGACAUUGUUUUUAAAAGAUCUCAGUAUAUUUGACAUUUCUGUACAGCGACGUCUGAUUUCUUAUUGGUCAAUAUACACUUCCUGGCCAUGUAUAUUAUAUAACACAAUACAAUGUAGUAGAACAGCUCCGUCACACAUUCCUACUCAAGGAGGCUUCUAGUGGACUGUGCUCCAGAUACAUCCUCAUCACGUAGGUUAGGCUGAAAUGUGUUUCUAAUAUCCAACAUGUACAGUAUACACUAUACACUAUACAGUAUAUAUGUGAAGUGAUGUCUGCCUACAGUUGACAUCAGCCUGGCUCUAAUAAAAAAUAGUCACUAGUCAUAAAAUCCAUCCUCUGUGCUGCUGUGGAGGAUUUGUUCUCCUCAUAUAGCAGUUUGGGAAUGAGGCCCAGCAGCUGGAGUGGGCGAAGAGGGAGAGUGAGCGAGCCGAGCGGGAGCGCGUGAAGAGGCUGCGGCAGCAGGAGCAGGAGGACCUGGAGCUGGCCAUCGCCC